This is a long non-coding RNA of Passer domesticus (house sparrow), 286 nucleotides long. RefSeq lists it as uncharacterized. The record is from RefSeq and is a predicted model, not a curated record. NCBI's taxonomy places the organism in Eukaryota, Metazoa, Chordata, Aves, Passeriformes, Passeridae. The transcript has 3 exons.
GAAGAAUGGUAAAGGACAAAGUUAUAAGCUUUCCAAGAAAAAGCCACUAGGCUUUGGUUCAAAUCCUAAACCUGGGAGCUGCUGUUUAAAUAAAACAUGUGAGGAAGAGGAUUAUAAAGACAUCCUUAAUAGAGACCAAAAGUCCAUCAUGUUCAGUGGCUUCAGUCUAGUAGAGACCAGGAUCAUAUACUUGUGGAAAGACUAUGAGAACAGGCCCAUCUCUAUUACAGGCCCAGCUGCUGAAGUAGAGAGAAAGGAAAGCACAAGGAAGAUGUAACUGGCAGGA